RNAcentral lists this long non-coding RNA (4338 nucleotides) under Capsicum annuum. Its description in RNAcentral is "long non-coding RNA (CANN_LNC019653)". Lineage: Eukaryota; Viridiplantae; Streptophyta; Magnoliopsida; Solanales; Solanaceae. The record is from RNAcentral.
GCCGUUGAUCAAAAUAAUCCAAUGGCUGAGAUCCAAAGCACCCACUUUUUGCUUUUAAACAAAACAAAACCCUAAUCCCCCAUUUCUCAAGAAAUCAAUUGCUGCUUCUCCACUCUCUCUCUCUACAGUCCCUCUCUUCUCUACCUUCUCUCUAAAACAAAACCAUUCCCAACCACUAGCCACCUCACCGACCUUUGUCACUGCUCUGCCUCCCUCCAUUCAUCCCCCAACAGCAAUCGCCCUGUGUCACCAUCGACAAAACAACUGCAGCUACCACCAUCUCUCCUUCUCAAACAGCUGCCACCGUCGCUUUCUCUGUCAUCACUGAGCUCCUCUCCCCCCACCAAUUGCUGCUCUAGCCGGCUCCACAACCGAUCCAGUUCCAGCCCAACACCAUUUUGGCAAACACCAAUUUCUACUUCUUUGUUUCGUGUAAGCUAACCAUGUCAUUAAUGUUGAAUUAGUCAGAUCCCUAUCUCAGUGUUUAGACAUCCUUUAGUAUUGAGUUGACAAAGUAUCCAUACUUGGUUGAAUUUAUUGGGUUCUUUUCUACAUGUAUCACCAAGUUUUUUUAGGAAAAGACUAUAAUAACUAAUAAGUUUCGUUAAAAGUCCAUGCCAUGGUGCAAGUGCUAGACAAAGUCUUGUUAUGAAUUUUGUUUUCUCUACAUAGCUGGAAAAUUAUGUUUUCUCCAGAAAUGUAAAUGGGUAGACAAAAUUAUUGGAAGUAGAUAACUUUCGUGCAUGAUGUUUUAUACAAAAUUUGAGCCUGAAGCUCUAGUUGGGUUGCAUAAAUUAAUAUUUUGCUGAACCUAGGAACUCAUCGUUGGAUCUUUAUACGUUGCUUAUGUCUAAUGUUUAUAAUUUUGUGCAAAUAUAUAUCACUUCAUUUAUUGUAUAAAUCUAGCUAGCUAGCUGUUUUACACAUUCUAUGUGUAUUUAAGAAGACAUUUAUAUGUUUGAGUUGUGUUGUUUCCUUUUCAUAUGUUCAUAUUAAUUAUAGUUACAUAUAUAUUUGUCUUAAAUACAAUUGUGAUUCAAAUUAUUAUUGAGAAGGCCGACGGUUUGAAAGGGAGUGGCUUCCAAAGAGACGUCCAAGAAACCUUUACUCUGGUCAAUAAUAAAUGAAAUUAGUAAAGUGUAAUCACUUGAAAAUGUGAAUUCAUAACUUAAAAUUGGUUUAACGUUGGCACUUGAAAUAUGAAUUCAUGACUUGAAAAUGGUUAGGUUUAUUCACUUGAAAUGUGAAUUAGAGAGUUGAAUAAGUGUAGUGUUUUAAAAUGUGUAGCAAUCACUUGAGAAGUGGAUUAGCAACUUGAAAAUGAUUUAGCAUAGUUACUUGAAAGAUGAACUUGUGUUUUGAAAUUAGUAAAGUGUAAUCACUUGAAAAUGUGAAUUCAUAACUUGAAAUUGGUUUAGUGUUGGCACUUGAAAUGUGAAUUAGAGAGUUGAAAAUGGUUAAGUUUAGUAUUUUGAAAUGUGUAGUAAUCACUUGAGAAGUGGAUUAGAAACUUGAAAAUGGUUUAGUGUAGUUACUUGAAAGGUAAACUUGUGUUUUGAAAUUAGUUAAGUAUAAUCACUUGAAAAUGUGAAUUCAUAACUUGAAAUUGGUUUAGUGUUGAUACUUGAAUGUGAAUUCUUGACUUGAAAAUGAUUAAGUUUAGUAACUUGAAAUGUGAAUUAGAGAGUUAAAAAUGGUUAAGUGUAGUAUUUUGAAAUGUGUACUAGUCACUUGAGAAGUGGAUUAGCGACUUGAAAAUGGUUUAGUGUAGUUCAUGAAAGUUGAACUUGUGUUUUGAAAUUAGUAAAGUGUCACUUGAAAAUGUGAAUUCAUGACUUGAAAUUGGUUUAGUGUUGACACUUGAAAUGUGAAUUCAUGACUUGAAAAUGGUUAGGUUUAGCCACUUGCAAUGUGAAUUAGAGAGUUAAAAAUGGUCAAGUGUAGUGUUUUGAAAUGUGUACUAGUCACUUGAGAAGUGGAUUAACGACUUGAAAAUGAUUUAGUGUAGUUCUUGAAAAGUGAACUUGUGUUUUAAAAUUAGUAAAGUGUGAUCACUUUAAAAUGUGAAUUCAUAACUUGAAAUUGAUUUAAUGUUGACACUUGAAAUGUGAAUUCAUGAGCUGAAAAUAGUUAGGCUUAGUCACUUGAAAUGUGAAUUAGAGAGUUGAAAAUGGUCAAGUGUAGUGUUUUAAAAUGUGUAAUAGUGGCUUUAAAGUGAUCAAGUGUAGUCACUUGAGAAGUGGAUUAGCGACUAGAAAAUGGUUUAGUGUAGUCACUUGAAAGGUGAACUUGUGUUUUGAAAUUAGUAAAGUGUAAUCACUUGAAAGUGUGAAUUCAUGACUUGAAAUUGAUUAGUGUUGUCACUUGAAAUGUGAAUUCAUGACUUAAAAAUAUUUAAGUUUAGUCACUUAAGAAGUGAAUUAGAGAGUUAAAAAUGGUUAAGGGUAGUGUUUUGAAAUGUAUACUAGUGACUUCAAAUUGAUUAAGUGUGUAGUCACUUGAAAUGUGAAUUAGAGAGUUAAAAACUGUUAAGUGUAGUAUUAUGAAACGUGUAUUAGUGACUUCAAAGUGAUCAAGUGUAGUCACUUGAGAAGUGGAUUAGCGACUAGAAAAUUGUUUAGUGUAGUUACUUGAAAGGUGAACUUGUGUUUUGAAAUUAGUAAAGUGUAAUCACUUGAAAGUGUGAAUUUAUGACUUGAAAUAGAUCUAGUAUUGUCACUUGAAAUGUGAAUUCAUGACUUGAAAUAAGUUUAGUCACUUGAGAAGUGAAUUAGAGAGUUGAAAAUGGUUAAGUGUAGUGUUUUGAAAUGUGUACAAGUGACUUCAAAUUGAUCAAGUGUGUGGUCACUUGAAAUGUGAAUUUGAGAGUUGAAAAUUGUUAAGUGUAGUGUUUUGAAAUGUGUACAAGUGACUUCAAAUUGAUCAAGUGUGUGGUCACUUGAAAUGUGAAUUUGAGAGUUGAAAAUUGUUAAGUGUAGUGUUUUGAAAUGUGUACAAGUGACUUCAAAUUGAUCAAGUGUGUGGUCACUUGAAAUGUGAAUUUGAGAGUUGAAAAUUGUUAAGUGUAGUGUUUUGAAAUGUGUACAAGUGACUUCAAAUUGAUCAAGUGUGUGGUCACUUGAAAUGUGAAUUUGAGAGUUGAAAAUUGUUAAGUGUAGUGUUUUGAAAUGUGUACUAGUGACUUCAAAUUAAUCAAGUGUAGUCACUUGAGAAGUGAAUUAGUGACUUGAAAAUGGUUUAGUGUAGUUACUUGAAAGAUGUACUUGUGUUUUGAAAUUAGUAAAGUGCAAUCAUUUGAAAAUGUGAAUUCAUGACUUGAAAUCGGUUUAGUGUUGUCACUUGAAAUGUGAAUUAAUGACUUGAAAAUAGUUUGUGUUGUCACUUGAAAUGUGAAUUCAUGACUUGAAAAUGAUUAAGUGUAGUAUUUUGAAAUGUGUACUGGUGACUUAAAAAUGAUCAAGUCACCACCACCACCACCUGCACCUGCACCUUCUCUUCUACCUCCUCCCGUAGAAGAUAUUGAUGUAGAUUUGAUUGGUCUAGUUCUUAGAGAUACGGACAUGCUUGGUAGAGUGUUCAUCAAGCUUGAUGGAUCUUCAUAAGUUUAUUUUUUAAUUAAUGGGUAUAUUUUUCUCAUUAAUAAAAUAUUCAAGCUUACAUACUUAUUAUGUUAUUUACAGGUAGUAUCUCGCGUCAAAAGAGUUAAUAAUUCUGUAAGGGAGAGCGUUAUGAGACUUUUUACAUAUCCUUGGAACGAGUGGUGGGACAUUCCAAUAGUUUCUAAACAAGCCAUGUUUCAAGAGUUUAAGGUCUAUUAAAUUUAAUUAUUAUUUAGUUAACUUUAAUAUAUACAUACAUAUAUACACACACAUUAGUCAUAUAAAAUCAUAUAACACUAGUCAAUUGAUUUUCAGACAAUGUGUUGUUGGUUGUAUAUAUAUAUAUAUCAUAUAACUAUAGUCAAUUUAUUUUCAGACAAUGUGUUGUUGGUUGGCAAAGUACGAUCAGACCAUAUCUACAAUUUUUGAGAGACAUGCUGCUAUGUCACAUAAGAUUGCACAUCUUUGACGUGCCUUGACAUAGGCCAUUGCUCCUAAUUCAAGUAAUGAAGAGGAAACAAAGAGUGAUGAGGAGUUUGUUGAGGCUACUCCUUAGUGUUGUUGGACUUGAAUUUUAGAUAAUUUUUAGAUAUUUUUGAACUUAGCUUUUAAUUAGUGAAAAAUCUUUAGGAGUGUUUAAGUAUUUUGAAUGUUGUUGGAUUCAUUGUUUAAGUGUUGUUGAUUUGAAUUGCUUAAAUGAUUUAUUGAUGUGUGUUGCAUGAUUAUUGUUAUAAUGUGU